Molecule: long non-coding RNA, 7884 nt
Organism: Andrographis paniculata
Lineage: Eukaryota; Viridiplantae; Streptophyta; Magnoliopsida; Lamiales; Acanthaceae
Exons: 3
Source: RefSeq, a predicted model, not a curated record
CACAUUCUCUUCCUCUCUCUACAGUAACGUCUCUCCCUAGCCUCUCUCAUCCUCUCCCUCAACCCCUUCUCUAGCGACGGUUUGCGACGGUUCACGGCGGUGCUUUCCUCCUAUAAUCUUGUGGAGCUCCUUAGCACAUUCGGUUUUCCCCUGUUUUGGUUGUUUCGAGUUGCAAAGGGCUCGUUCAACCUCGAAGGCGCUCGUUCGACUUGUUUUCUGCUUUGUGGGGAACUCCUUUUGUUUGUCGUGGGUUGUUAGGGUAGAUUUUUGUGUGUUCGUCGCAUUUUGGGUCUGUGUUUGUGUCGAUUUUGUGAUUCCGAGUUUGGUUUGAGGUUGAGCCUUCAAAAACCAAAUCUAGUUCAAUAUUUUUACUCGAUUUCAUUAAUAAAAUCUUUCUUUCCGUUCAUAUUUUUAAUAACAAGUGGUAUCAGAGCUUUUUGGUAUAUUUUUGCUUUCAAAAUUGAGUAUUCUUUUUCUUUUGAGGUUUUUUGGUUGAAUAUAUUUAGAUCUACAAAAGGAUCUGGUUGAAUCGAACUAUUUUAAGUGUUUUUUAUUCUUUUCCUUAUAGAUCUAUCUAAUAUUGGUUGUAAAUCGUUAGAUCUAUCAAGGAUCUGGUUGAAUCGAACUGUUUUAAAGUGUUUCGAUUCUUUUCCUUGUAGAUCUACUCAAAACCGGCCGAAAUAUCACUCGAUCCGUGCUCUCUAGCCUCUGUCGAGUGCGAUUUGUGUUAAUCGUGACUUAACCGCUACAAAUCUGUGUAGUUUGGUUAAGUUUGAAUCUAGUUUUGGUUAGUUUCUUACAAAAUCGUUUUAUUUUUUGAUAAACGAAUUUUGUUUUCAAAACUUUAUUUAAAUAAUAAGUGUAAAUCGGGAUAAGUUGCCUCUAUUUUUGUAAAGUUUUGUUAAAGAUCCUUGCGGAUCUAUAAUUGGGGAGUCAAAAUCUAAAAGAUUUUUUUUUAAAUCUUAAAAAUUUUGGUAAAUAUUUUUGGAAGAUCUUUAUAUUUUCAAACUAAAUCUCGUUUGAAAUCUUCAGAAUCUUUAAACCUUGUUUGUUUGUGUUCAUUUUUUAGUCGGCAUUGUGUAAUAUUCAAUCUGUUUCAGGGAUUCUAUAAUUUGUUAGAAGAGACAUUUUUGUGUUUGUUUUUUGUUUUUUGUGAAACUGUUUUCACUAACCCCUAUUUUCUACAAAAGAGAAUAGGUUUGUUUUCUGUGAAUUUCCUACUGUUUUGUAGGAAUAUAAAUUUUUUGUUGUUUUGCUACAAGGGUAACCCCUUAACUCACAUUAUUUACUGUUUUGUGUUUGUUUUAAUUCUAUGCAUUUAAUUUUUUGUGCUCAAAAAUAAAUUGUAAAGGCUAUUUUGAAACCUAGGUUACUAAACUCCGAUCCUCACUUUGUGAGUGAUUCUCGAAUACCUCGGUUGAAUAUUCAUGAAUUUAUGUUGUAAUAGUUAAGUGAUAUAUUUUCUUUGAUUGCCUAAUUUCUUGUUGUGAUUAUCUCUUGUGUGUGAUAAUUUGUUGUUGUUUAUUUUCGUGUGAUUUGCUUGCCAUAUAUAGUCUGUUUUGGUGAAAUUAAAAUAAAUAAUUUUUUGAAAUUUAAAAACAGAUUUUUUUUUAAAAAAAAAAGGAAAAUUUUUAAAAUCUGGUUUAAAAACAUAAAAAAUGGUUGGUAGCUUUAGUUCUGUCUUUUGAUGGGAAAAUGAAUUUUGCAAUUUGGAAACAAAAAAUGUGAAGCAUUUUAGUCACUCAAAGAAUAAUUAGAGCAAUUGAGCCGGAUCAUGUAGCUCAAGUUCCUCUAGAGAUGAGGGCUGAGUUAGAUGAAAUGACUUACUCUAUUAUAAUAUUCAAUUUAGCAGAUAAUGUAAUUAGGAAAGUAGGUAAGCAAGAAUCUGCUUUGAAAUUAUGGAAUAAAUUGGAUGAACUAUACACGCAAACUUCACUUCCUAGUAGGUUGUAUUUUUUAGAAAAAAAUUUUAGUUUUAAACUUGAUUUGUCAAAAUCAAUUGAUGAAAAUCUGGACAGUUUUUCAAAAUUAAUAAUACAAGAUAUAAAACUUACUGGUGAUAAAAAUAUUGACGAUUAUAGUGCUAUAGUUUUGUUAAAUGCAAUUCCUAACUCAUACAUGGAUGUGAAAUCUGCUAUUAAAUAUGGGUGUGAUUUUGUAACAUUAGAUGUAGUCAUUAAUGAGUUGAAAUCUAAAGAAUUAAAUUUAUAAAUUCAUAAGUCCAAUAAGAUAAUAAGUCAUGCAUACUAGAUGUAGGUCUCCUUUUAGAUCAAAUUAAAAAGGUAAUUCUGAAGAUAAUAAUAAUAGUAAUAAAAACCAGAAUAGUAUAAAUAAAUAUAGAUCUAAAAGUAGAGGAAACAAUAGAUCUAAAACUCCAAAUAAAGGGGGUAAAAGAUGUUAUCAUUGUGGUAAUCCUAACCAUUUUAUACGUGAGUGUCCUAAAAAGAAGAUUAAUAACAUUACAAACAGUAAUAAUAAUGGUAGCCAACAGCAUGUUAAUGAGUUAGCCAAUAUGAUAUUACUUGAUCGAAAUUGUGGUCAUGUGUUUACUGUUACUGUCGACUGCUUGAAUGUAAACAAUGUAUGUAUGAAUGAAUGACUUAUUGAUUCUGGAUGCACUUACCAUAUGACUCCAUUAAAAUAGAUUUUUUGUGAAUACAAAACUUUAGUAAAUUGCAUUGUUUCCAUGGCUGAUAAUAGUGUUUCUAAUGUGUUUGGAAUUGGUAGUGUAAAUUUAAAAUUUAACACAGGUUUUGUGCUAAAAUUAAACAAUGUGAGACAUGUUCCUGGUUUAUCAAAUAAUAUGCUAUCUUGUGUUGCUUUAUCAGAUUUAGAAUUAGAGGAAAAAUGGAGAAAUGAUCGUAUGAAAAUUACUAAGGGAUCUUUAGUUGUGUUUAAAGCUAUAAACGUAAUAAUUUGUACGUUACUUGUGCUGAACCAAUUAAUAUGUCUGUAAACACAAUAAAUUCUGUUAAAAAGAAUAGUGAUUUGUAGCAUAAGAGAUUAAGACACUUAAGUAAUAAAGGAUUAGAAAUUUUACAUAAAAAUGGAUCCUUAGAAAAUGUAAAAUUUAAUCCAGUGUCCUUUUGUGAUAAUUGUGUGUAUGGUAAACACCAUAAGGUCCAAUUUCCCCAUCUCCCUAGUGAAAAACAUGAAUUAUCUAAAUAUGUAUUGGAUUAUUUACAUGCUGAUGUGUGGGGCCCAAUUUCUAGAUAUUUUUUAUCCAUUAUUGAUGAUUUUUCUAGAAAAACAUGGGUAUUUCUUAUGAAGAAUAAAUUUGAUGUGUUUGAUAUUUUCAAAAUUUGGAAAAUUAAAAUUGAAAAUCAAACUGGAAAGAAAAUUAAAUAUCUUAGAACUGAUAAUGGUUUAGAAUUUUACAACUCCUGGUUUGAUGUUUUUUGUCAAGAAAAUGGUAUAAAUAGACAUAGGACUGUCCCCUAUACAACCCAGCAGAAUGGGGUGGCUGAGAGGAUGAACCGGACUCUCUUGGAGAGAGUUCGAAGCCUUUUGGCUUUAUCCGGUUUGUCUAAAAUUUUUUUGGGGAAAGCUGUUAUGACAGUAGCUUAUAUAGUCAAUAGAUCACCCUUCAUUCCUUUGAAUGGUGCUUGUCCUGAAUUUAAGUGGACUGGUAGGAAAAUUGAUUUUUCAAAUAUUCGGGUGUUUGGGUGUUCUGCUUUUAUACAUGUUAAUAAUGACAAAUUAGACCCUAGAGUUGAAAAAUGUGUUUUCUUGGGUUAUCGGGAGGAGUUACGGGUUAUAGAUUAUGGUUAAGGUCUAGACCUGGUUUUAAAACUGUUAUUAGUAGAGAUGUUGUUUUCAAUGAAAAUGAGAUGCCUUGUUUAAAUAUUGAAAAAUCUGGUUUGGAUAAAUCUGAAAUUGAUGUUGAAAAUUUAGACUCUAGUAAUACUCCAAAUGAGGUGGAGUAUAAUAUUGUUAGUAUAGGUGAUGUAGAAAAUAUAGAAAAUGAUGUUGAAAUUCGUGUAGAAUCUGCUGUGAGAGAGGAAACUGUUACUGAAAAUGAUAAUAACAUUUCUGAAGAUCAAAAUGAAUCUGAUUUUAAUAAUAGUAAUCAAAAUGAGUUAGAAAAUUACCAAAUGUCUGGAGAUAGGGGUAGAAGAAUCUCUAGGUUGCCUACUAGGCUUGGUGAUUUUGAUUUGUCUUCUUUGGCUUUUAGUGUAUUUGAGAAUUUAGAUGGUAAUGAAUCUAAGACAUUUAGGGGGGCCAUAAAUUCUGAAAAUAAAAAUCAGUGGUUAAAAGCAAUGAAAAAAGAAAUUGAUUCAUUAUAUGAUAAUAAAACUUGGUGUUUGGUUCCUAAACCUCUUAAUUGUUAUCUUGUUGAUUGUAAAUGGAUUUAUAAAGUUAAAUAAGAAGAUAAUGGAAUUAGAUUUAAAGCUAGAUUAGUAGCUAAGGGUUUUACCCAAAAGGAAUGAAUAGAUUAUAAUGAAAUUUUUGCCCCUGUUGUCAAAUUUACCACUGUUAGAAUUAUGUUAGCUCUAGUUGCAUUUUAUGAUUGGGAGCUAAAACAAUUGGAUGUUAAAACAACUUUUUUGCAUGGUGAAUUAAAUGAGAAGAUUUAUAUGAAACAACCUGAAGGUUUUAUUGAUAAAAACAAAAUGAAUCAAGUUUGUUUGUUAAAUAAAUCUUUGUAUGGUUUAAAACAGUCACCUAAUGAAAUAUCAAAUUUGAUAAUUGUAUGAAAAAUCUUGAUUUUAUUAAAAGCAAAUUUGAUUAUUGUUUGUAUUUUAAGACUGUUAAAAACCAACCUAUUUUUCUUCUCAUUUAUGUUGAUGAUAUGUUGAUUAUUAGUCCAUGUUUAAAGCUUAUUGAUCACGUGAUUAAGUUUUUAUGUGAUAAUUUUGACAUGAAACUGUUGGGUGAUGCCAAAGUGAUUUUAGGCAUGUGUAUCACUAGGGAUAGAAAGAAUUCUAGACUGUUUUUUAAUCAAUCUACUUAUAUUUCGAAAAUUCUUAAGAAGUUUUCUAUGAGUGAUGCUAAAUCUGUUUAUGUUCCUAUGGCUUUUAGUUUUGUGUUAAGUAGGGAUCAAUGUCCUAAGUCGGAAUCUGAUUUUGAAUAUAUGAAACAUAUGUCAUAUUCUAAUGAAUAGGUUCCAUAAUGUACUUAAUGGUUAGUACUAUGCCAAAUUUAGCUUAUGCUAUUAGUUGUUUAAGUAGGUAUAUGUCGAACCCUGGUUUAAAACAUUGACAUGCAUUGAAAUGAGUUUUUAGAUACUUAGUUGGUACAAUAAAUGUUGGUCUUGUGUAUGGCAAAAAUAUUGAAAAUGUUAAAUUAGAGGAUUUUGUGGAUUCAAAUUAUGCAAAUAAUAGAGAUAGUAAGAAAAGUACUACUUCCUAUGUUUUUACUUUGUGCGGAACUUGUAUAAGUUGGAAAUUUCAAUUGCAACAUAUUGUAGCACUAUCCAAAAUAGAACUUGAAUAUGUUGCAAUAACUGAAGCUUUAAAAGAGGCAUUUUGGUUAAAAGGAUUAAUCAGUAAGUUAGGUUAUACAACAUGUUGUUACUGUUUUCGGAUAGUCAGUCGGGAAUCCAGUUGUGCAAAAAUCCUGUAUUUCAUGAUAGAACAAAACAUAUUGACGUGCGUUUUCAUUUCAUACGUGAUAUUGUAUCUAAAGGAAUUUUAAAAUUAGAAAAUAUUCCUUCUGAAUAUAACCCAUCUGAUAUGGGUACUAAGGUUCUAGCUGCAAAUAAAUUUGUAUCUUGUAUGAAAUACAUAUAUGGGUGUGUUUGUUUGAGGGAUUUGUUUGGAUUUCCACUAUUCAUCCUAUUUUUUCCCCCCAAAAACAUCAAAUCAAAUACCUAUUUUUUAUUUUUUAUAUUAUACUAAAAAUCAACUUUACAUUCAAAACAUCACAUCAACACCUAUUUAUAUCACAUCAUACAACUAUUCAAAUUCAAAAUUUUUACUAUUCAAAUCCCAACUCAAAAUCCAAAUCCUCAAACAAACACACCCAGAGGGUGUAGUAGGUAGGCUAAGUUAAUAUUUUUUACUAACAUUAUGUUUUUUUUUCUUUUGUGCAGGUAAAAAAUAUGGGCAAUGAUGUACCCCAUCCACUCGGACGAAAAAUCAGCCCAUGAAAAUCAGGCCCAAACCCGCGACCCUUGGGCUGACCCGUACCCUCGACCCGCGCCUGCGACCCACGACCUGUUGAGGAUCCGCGUCUUUCUUAGACGUUGUGCUGACCGUCCGAUUUGGGGUUUUAAUCUUGAUCGUUUGGAUCUCUUUUGACCUAGGUAUAUAUAUGGAGGAUGAGAGAGAAGCCGUCUAAUAUACACAUUAUCUUCCUCUCUCUCUAGCUUCUCUCAUCCUCUCCCUCAACCCCUUCUCUGGCGACGGUUUUACGACGGUUCACAGCAGUGCUUUCCUCCUGUAAUCUUGUGGAGCUCCUUAGCACGUUCGAUUUUCUCCUGUUUUGGUUGUUUCGAGUUGCAAAUAGCUCGUUCAACCUCGAAGGCGCUUGUUCGCCUUGUUUUCUGCUUUGUGGGGAACUCCUUUUGUUUGUCGUGGGUUGUUAUGGUAGAUUUUUGUGUGUUCGUCACGUUUUGGGUCUGUGUUUGUGUCGAUUUUUUUAUAACGAGUUUGGUUUGGGGCUGAACUUUCAAAAACCAAAUCUAGUUUAAUAUUUUUAUUCGUUAAUAAAAUCUUUCUUUCCGUUCAUAUUUUUAAUGACAUUUCGGAUGAAGCCUAAAGCAACCAUGUGAUCACAAAUAUUUGAUUCUCCCUAAGCUUUUAUUUUUGGAUAUAUAAGCUUCUUAGUAAAUGAAAAAUAGAAAAGUUACAAAUUGAUAUAUAUAAGCUUUUUUUUUCGUUUUGUUUUGUUGUCCUUUUUUUUUUUUAAUUUUUUUUUUUUAUGCAUGUCUAAUAGAUAUCCUAUAUUUGGUAAGUUUAUAUAUUUGUAGGUAAAAACAGAAUAUAGUUGUGAAAUUUCUUUUGUUACAAAAAACAAAAAUUAUGAAUACAGUAAAAACCUAAUCUACUUGUGGAUUUUUCUCAUUAUUUGAAUUUGUUUUGGAACAUGCCUUUGUUCUUUGGUUUACGAUCAUUUUUGAGGAUUUUAAUAUAUCUUUUAGCAUUAAAAUUCAAAAACGAUUAUUUGGUUUGUUGAAGGUGUUAUAGUACUUGUAUGUGUGUAUAUACAAUUAUGCUAUAAAUAUUAUACUGUGAAUGUAUAUUGUUUCUUAAUUAAUUAGUUGGGAUGUCGUUGAAAUUAAGUUGUUACAAAACAAGUAAUCUUUGAUUGAAGAAUUGUGCUUUCUACCUUAGUUUUUUCUGAGUUGGAGCAUUGGAUUUAUUAUGUGAUGUACCGAUAUAUAUAUAUAUAUAUGUAUGCUGUUGCAGUUUGGUGGUAUUGAUCCAAAAAAGUUGUUACCAAGAAAAUUUCUGGAAACAUAUACUGUAUGUUUUAGUCUUCUUCACCUUGGAGCCUCUGCCUAGCUUUGUAAAUGAAUUUUGAAUGCUUCUGCAACCCUGAUGGAAUGACAAGCUACGCAAUGAAGGGUGUUUAUUAUUAAUGUCCCUGGGAUAAUUAUUAUAUAUGGAUGCUCAUCAUCCUAUACAUUCAGCUGGAUGGUCAUCAUCUUAUUGGCAACUACGUACUGCAUGUUAUACGCCAAUCUGAUUCCCAUGCAUGCAUGUUUUUCCUUAGCUCGCUCUUGAUCAGGCCCAAUCAUUUUUUAAUUUGCUUCCUUCAAAGCAUGCAUUAUCAAAAAGGAAGUGUAUAUAUGCAACAUCAGAGCAGCUGAUGGUGCAAUAUUUUUGCAGUUAAAUUUGCGACUGCUGAGGCAAUGAAUUAAUGACUUGAGUUUCAUCAUGCUUACUUUUCUUCUGGUCUUAAUAUUUUGUCAUUCAUGCCCAAACUUUGUGCAUAUAU